Saccostrea cuccullata (small rock oyster) is the source of this 559-nucleotide long non-coding RNA. RefSeq lists it as uncharacterized. The transcript has 3 exons. NCBI's taxonomy places the organism in Eukaryota, Metazoa, Mollusca, Bivalvia, Ostreida, Ostreidae. The record is from RefSeq and is a predicted model, not a curated record.
UGGAGGGAAAACUCACCCACAACUUCCCACAGUUUACCUCGGACCUGUAUACAGUGGGGGUGGUGCUAGCCAGUGGGGGAUACCCUGGGGUGUACAAAAAAGGGUUUCCUAUCUCAGGUAUAGAUGGAGUGGAGAAGUUAGGACCCCGAGUUCUGGUGUUCCAUGCAGGGACGGCCAAACAGGAGCAGGGUAUAGUUACCAGUGGUGGGCGUGUCCUGGUUGUCGUGGCCGUGAACUCUGACCUCCAGUCAGCCUGUACAGAAGCUGAGAAGUGGGCGGGGUUUAUCAAGUUUGAUGGAGUUAUCACAGAUCUGAUAUUGGAUUCAGGGUGUUGGACAGGCAUCAAAAAACCAUGUUCCCCCAUCUCUCAUACCAAGAUUCUGGAGUUAACAUUGAGGCUGGUAACAUUCUGGUUAAGGCCAUUCAGCCAUUGGCUAAAGACACCAUGAGACCUGGAUGUGAUGCUAGUCUGGGUGGAUUUGGUGCUUUGUUUGACGUCAAAGCUGCAGGAUUUACUGAUCCUAUACUGGUGUCUGGUACAGAUGGAGUGGGCACGAAA